This 208-nucleotide ribosomal RNA is filed under the name uncultured bacterium. Its description in RNAcentral is "partial 16S ribosomal RNA". It matches the Rfam family "Bacterial small subunit ribosomal RNA", at positions 568 to 776 of the family's 1533-position model. The record is from RNAcentral.
CGCGUAGGCGGCCAUGCGUGUCUUCCGUGAAAUCCCUCGGCUUAACUGAGGACGUGCGGAAGAAACUGCAAGGCUUGAGUCCGGGAGAGGGGGUGGAAUUCCCAGUGUAGCGGUGAAAUGCGUAGAUAUUGGGAGGAACACCGGUGGCGAAGGCGGCCCCCUGGACCGGUACUGACGCUGAGGCGCGAAAGCGUGGGUAGCAAAACGG